This 89-nucleotide small RNA is filed under the name Drosophila guanche. The record is from RNAcentral. Lineage: Eukaryota; Metazoa; Arthropoda; Insecta; Diptera; Drosophilidae.
GCUGCUGCUGCUGUGGCGGCUGCUGAGCUUUCUGUUGCAAGUGCAGCGGUACAUGCUGCUGCUGCUGCUGCUGUUGGGGAGGCGGCGGC